RNAcentral lists this ribosomal RNA (486 nucleotides) under uncultured bacterium. RNAcentral's name for it is "partial 16S ribosomal RNA". It matches the Rfam family "Bacterial small subunit ribosomal RNA", at positions 30 to 507 of the family's 1533-position model. The record is from RNAcentral.
AUUGAACGCUGGCGGCAUGCCUUACACAUGCAAGUCGAACGGCAGCACGGGUGCUUGCACCUGGUGGCGAGUGGCGAACGGGUGAGUAAUACAUCGGAACAUGUCCUGUAGUGGGGGAUAGCCCGGCGAAAGCCGGAUUAAUACCGCAUACGAUCUACGGAUGAAAGCGGGGGACCUUCGGGCCUCGCGCUAUAGGGUUGGCCGAUGGCUGAUUAGCUAGUUGGUGGGGUAAAGGCCUACCAAGGCGACGAGCAGUAGCUGGUCUGAGAGGACGACCAGCCACACUGGAACUGGGACACGGCCCAGACUCCUACGGGAGGCAGCAGUGGGGAAUUUUGGACAAUGGGCGAAAGCCUGAUCCAGCAAUGCCGCGUGUGUGAAGAAGGCCUUCGGGUUGUAAAGCACUUUUGUCCGGAAAGAAAUCCUUGGCCCUAAUACGGUCGGGGGAUGACGGUACCGGAAGAAUAAGCACCGGCUAACUACGUG